This 601-nucleotide ribosomal RNA is filed under the name uncultured fungus. RNAcentral describes it as "eukaryotic LSU rRNA". The stretch from base 188 to 341 matches the Rfam family "5.8S ribosomal RNA". The record is from RNAcentral. Lineage: Eukaryota; Fungi.
GCGGAGGAUCAUUAUUGAUUGCGAAUCGUUGUCUUCAGUGCUGGCCAGCUCUCUGGCAAGUGCACGUUGGCGGCCUUUCAUCCAACACCCUGUGCACCUUUGGCCUCUUGCUAGCCUCGGCCAGCAGAGGAUUUUUAUACCCACUCGAAUGUAAUGAAAUUAUUGUCGUGCGCAAGCACUAAUGUACAACUUUCAACAACGGAUCUCUUGGCUCUCGCAUCGAUGAAGAACGCAGCGAAAUGCGAUAAGUAAUGUGAAUUGCAGAAUUCAGUGAAUCAUCGAAUCUUUGAACGCACCUUGCACCCUUUGGCAUUCCGAAGGGUAUGCUCGUUUGAGUGUCAUUGUACUCUCACACUUCUGAUCCUUUGGUGGAUUGGGAGCGGUGGACUUGGGUGCUGCUGCUUUACUGUAGCUCACCCCAAAUGCAUUAGUGCAACUCUUGGUUGGACAUAGUACGGCGUGAUAAGUGUCUUCGCCGGCACCUCGCAAGAGGGUGGCCGAUCGGGAGCUCUGUGCUUCAAACCGUCUUCGGACAACAACUGACAACUUGACCUCAAAUCGAGUAGGACCACCCGCUGAACUUAAGCAUAUCAAUAAGCGG